RNAcentral lists this unclassified non-coding RNA (822 nucleotides) under Helicoverpa zea (corn earworm). RNAcentral's name for it is "uncharacterized LOC124629606, transcript variant X2". The record is from RNAcentral. Lineage: Eukaryota; Metazoa; Arthropoda; Insecta; Lepidoptera; Noctuidae.
AUGGCGGCCUCAGUAACUCAUACACAGUUCCGGCGUAAAAACGACACUGCCGGACAGAACGGGCGACGAUAGCGCAGUUAUAUGUGUGUGCCCCGCCUUAUUUACAACUAGUCCGCUUCCGAGGUUUCACUCCAAGCCAAGUCUGCACACUUUACUAUCAUCAAGCCUUUCAGUAAACUAAAUAAUCAAAAGAACUUCGUGUACUGCACAAGAACUUCCACAAUCUCGACUUUUUGCGAUUAGUAUUGGAUGUUUUCCAAAUGUGCUUUUCACAACUUAGCUUGCUACGGUUUCAUAGAGACACUUAUGCGCGAUUUCUUGUCGAGUCUCUGAUACCUAAGUGAGCACUUAGAAUAAGAAUAUGUGGGUGCUGGCUGUGUCACCGGAACACGUUCAGGUCAUCACACGGUCGACGGCGUUCAUUGCAGGAGCACGCCUCGACACGGCAUGCGUGACCCCGCAUCAACAUUUUCUCAAGUGCUCCUGAAAAUCUCGAGGAAUAGUUCUACGUAUACACGGCCCGGCAAUCACUUACGUGGUUAUAUCGCCGACGGAAUCGUGCAUGCCAUACCAAAUACUAGAUCCCAUAUAAAAGUAUCUUUGCUAAACGUGCAAUGAGCAAUAGAGUAUUGGAUAACCUUCCUAGAUACAGCAUUUCGUAUUUAUUGCAAUUGUGACAAUUAUCAAAAGAAUUUGUCUCUCGAUUGUUUUGAUCUCUCCUGUGGUCGAAAAGAUGUAUUUCCUCACCCUGAAUGCAGCAUUGCCAAACCGAUUGCGAUAAUCGGUUUAGCCAUUUUGAAAUAAAAAUGAUAUAUAUUCUCA